AUUUGCUUUAAGCAGCAUUCUGCCUUGUGGUCCUGACGAGCUGCAUUGCCUCUUUCCCAGCUCUAGUUGAAGGCAUGAUUCACUCAAUAGUGUUCAGCCCUACUAUAGAUGUGCGUGAAUAGGUUUAGUGAUUAAGUGACAAUGAAGCAAGCUCACUUCAAAAUGCGUACAGGGGCUCUGUUUAUCGGUGGUAACAUCCAGCUGCAUCCAUAAGGCUUUUUCCUAUUCUACUAUAAAGACUAUGCGACAGCUGUAAGCACAUGUACUGUUUCCUGUAAAUUACCCGAUCUAUUUCUUGGAACUAACCAGAUGACAUUUAUUCGUUCCCUCUGCAAAUACUGCAAAUAGAUUUUAAAAGAACACAAUGGAUUUUAGCAAUUCGUCUGUGUUCGAUCAGCAUAAAGGUAAGUGAGCUGUUUGUUUCGACUCUAAUUUUUUUUUUUUUUAUGUGAGAUGUAAUUUUUUUUUCUGUUCUUUCUUUAAUACCAGAUGUGUUUAGAAGGGGACAUGUGUUCAAUGCUUUCCGUCUCCAUGCAAAGAGUUAAUUAACAUCGCGUAGUAUUUAUUAGGAGCCUAGCUGAUAACUCUUUCAGAUAAGCCAUCCAAUUAUAGAAGCAUUAAUGAAAACACAAUGCAACUUGUAUGUAGGAUAUUUUCAUUACAGCCACUUAACCCUGAGCUACCUAUGUCUCUCUGUGACUAAAGUCAACGUUAUUAAGAAAUUACUACCAAAAAGGUUUAAGUGACGUAUGAACGUGAGGAUCCCAGGUUUUCUCCACGGCCAAUCCAUCUAAACCAUGGGUCGUCAACCUGGUCCCUACCGCCCACUAGUGGGCGUUUCAGGAUUCCUGGUGGGCGGUAGGGAUUUGGACAGCUAAAUCCCCCGUUUGAGAGAGUGGGUGGCAGGCCCGGACUGGCCCAGCUGGGGCUGGGCUGACCGCCUUAAUGAUCAUUCUGAUAAAUCCUCCCCUCGGACUGUGCCAGCCUGUCAGUCCGAGGGGAGGAAGGAGGGAGGAGCUGGGGGCUGGUGUGACUGCCAGCAGCUGCAGGGAGACCUGUCAGUCUCCCUGCACAGUCUGAAAUCAUUAUAGCCGCAUACUCCGCCCCCAAACGGAAGCUCCGCCUCCCGCUCAAAGCUCCGCCCCAUGCACGUUACUGGGAAGCUGCCCACCGGACCAAGAGGACACGAAAGGUAUUUACUUUUUUACAGCCCCCCUACCCACUAUAUUGCCCCCUAACCCACUAUAGAGCCCCCCUAGCCACCUCACAGCCCCCCUAGCCACUAUUCAGCCCCCUACCCACCUCACAGCCCCCUACCCACCUCACAGACCCCCUACCCACUAUACAGCCCCCCUACCCACCUCACAGCCCCCUUACCCACCUCACUGCCCCCCUACCCACUAUACUGCCCCCUACCCACCUCACUGCCCCUACCCACUAUAGAGCCCCCUAUCCACUUAUCUGCCUCCCACCCACUAUACAGCCCCCCUACCCACCUCACAGCCCCCUUACCCACUAUACUGCCCCUUACCCACUAUACAGCCCCGUACCCACUAUAGAGCCCCCUACCCACUUCACUGCCCCCUACCNNNNNNNNNNNNNNNNNNNNNNNNNNNNNNNNNNNNNNNNNNNNNNNNNNNNNNNNNNNNNNNNNNNNNNNNNNNNNNNNNNNNNNNNNNNNNNNNNNNNCCUACCCACCUCACAGCCCCCCUGCCCCCUACCCACUAUACUGCCCCCUACCCACUAUAGAGCCCCCCUACCCACCUCACUGCCCCAUCCCACUAUAGAGCCCCCCUAGCCACUAUAGAGCCCCCCUACCCACCUCACAGCCCCCCACCCAUUAUAGAGCCCCCCUACCAACCUCACAGACCCCCUACCCACUAUACAUCAGCCUUACUUUUGUUCAUUGGAAUGUAAAAGAAAAGCAUAAAAAAGGAGAUAAAAAGGAAAAGAUAAAAAAAAAAAGGAAGGAAAAAUAGAAAAAAAGGGGAUAAAAUAAAGGAGGAGAGUACUUGUAAAAAAAGGAGAACGAAGGAGCAGAGUACUUGUAGCAUUGGAGAAAGAAGGAACAGAGUACUUGUAGCAUUGGAGAAAGAAAGAGCAGAGUACUUGUAAAAAAGGAGAAAGAAGAAAAAGAAAAAGGAGAAAAUUGUUGUUGGCUAAUAUAAUAAUAAUAAUAAUAAUAAUAAUAAUAAUAAUAAGUGGGCUACCUAGCUCAGCCUUCCUGCUGGGCAUUGCUAUAACGAAGGUUAAAAAUUAGGAAAAAGGGGGAAAAAAAAAGGUGGAGAGGUGAAUUGAGGAGGGAGAGAAGGGGAGCUGAUGCACAGAUGAGAAAUCAUAUUACGCGCAAACAGUGAAAUCGUUUGAAUAUCACCGAAAGAGAGAGACCUUUGCUUGUUCCUUAUGAAAAUCGAACCAGAUAUCAAAUAUUUAGUCUCGCAGCAUCAACCUCAAAUAUCUCAUUAAUCACUAGUAAAGGUAAUUUAAAUUUACUUUAUUUUCUCAUUAUAUUUUAUAAAGUUAACAACAUUAUAAACAUGCAUAAAGUAGAAAUAAAAAGAUAAAUGUAUGUACAUUUUUUUUUAUUUUUUUUUAAAAACACCCUCCUUUCUAAAAAAUAUUCUGCACUUGCGCGAAAACUGGUGGGCGGUAAGGAAAUUUUUCCAUCAAGAAAGAUGCAUUAGUGGGCGGUAGGUAGAAAAAGGUUGACUACCCCUGAUCUAAACCUUGACUUCAUUCCAAGGUCCAUAACAUGUGUACCAUUAGGCUAGGAAAUAAUAACAUUUUGGCUCUAGGGCAAUGCUUUAAAAUCUACCGAAAUCUCAGUGUACCUUUCUAGGUAUAACAGUUUAAUUAGUGUAAUAAAUUGUAAGUUUUACACUAUUCACAUUUGCACAUGCUUUUUUAAUUUUUGUUUUUGUUCAAGUCUUUGUUUAAAAUGUGCACUUAGAUUGCAAACAAGAUAUAAAUACAUCUCUAAUGGGAUAUAGAGUCUUGGAAAUUUCACUCCACAUUGCGCUGCUAAUCAUUAUGUUAGCGGGUAAUGUCUUGUACAGAAUUUAUUGGUGCAUACCUCCUUAUGGUAAAGCAUGGUAUGUUGUGUUUAUUUCAAUAAAUACUCUAAUUGAUGUUCUUUUGUAGAUAUGCACUAUAUGAGAUGUAAUGAUUAUCCAAAAUACAUUUUAUUUGCAUUACAAUGCAGAUUUAGGACCCCCUAUUGUAAAAGUACCAUGUUGGAGUUUAUUACCGAACAAUGGCCCCCACUAUCCCUUAUUGUAGGAUAUAGACUGUGUGCUCAUAGUAGCUUCUAGCAUAAUAAACACUAUGAGAACCCAUUUGACAUGUAUGGGUUGCUAUGGAAAUCCUGAUGGAGCCAAGCUGCCUUUUGAAGUGUGAGGCUUGAAUGCAUUUCAUACAAUGGCCGAGGAAUACAGCUAUGCAUUGCAGAUCAUCUCGGCAACAAAUACAUUUCAGCUUACAAUGGCUCCUCCACUUAAUGGUCUGUAUUGUAAAGGAAAAUCGGUCUGACCUGCAACGGCGCAAGGCAGUGAUUUCAUUGAAAAUUAUUGCACUUUAACCCCUUAAGGACACAUGACAUGUGUGACAUGUCAUGAUUCCCUUUUAUUCCAGAAGUUUGGUCCUUAAGGGGUUAAAAGACCCUCAGAUAAUUUAUUAGCAUUGCCAAUAAUGUCUACAGACUGUAGACGUAGUAAGAUGUGUGCAGCUUAACUCUAUUAGUGGGAGGAAGUUGUACGUGAGUAGCGAUAGUCACGUCCGUUCCGAGAAUCUUGCUUUCAUUUGGUGUCGCUGAAGGCAGAAGAACAGGUAUAAGGAAGUGCUUUUAUUCUUUUUCCUGCAGACUGAAACUCAAAGCAUGCCAAGUAGGCAAUGAUAGUUACAGUAAAAGAGGAUGGUGUGCUGGGAUAGGCUACCUGUAUAAACAAAGACAGAAACAAUCAGUGCAAUUUGCCUAUGAAUUUGAAAUGGUAUUAUUUCUGAACACCCCAUUUAAAUGGCACUCACAAAUACAUUUCGAGAUAUCAGGAAGAGUGUUAAGCAAUAGCUAUUUGACACCUAGGGACUGCGAUGCGAAGUUGCAAAUACGUAAUCAUUUUUUUAACUUGCUUCAUCCUUGUACUCAUCAUAAAAAUAUAGGUCCCCCUCUUUUUUUAUCCUUUCAACAGCAGCAAAUAAUCCACGCAAAACUCUCAAAGGGACGCACGUAAAGGGACCUAGAGAAUGGCUCAUAGUAGAUCACUUGGCAUUACCCAGACUUACAGCAUGGACUCUUUUCAAAUUAUUUUUAUUAAACAAUUUUUGAAAAUCAUAAUAGUACCAAUAUGAAACAGAAACAAUAAUAUACAAAUGAUUAAUGAAUAAUAAAAAAUAAAUAAAAGAGGAUGAAGGGGUUCCAUCCUUAGAUACAGGAAAUACAAUUUUUAAAGUUAGACAAAAUAAUACGUGGUACAGAACAUAUUAAAACCAUAUGUUUAUAUGUUUAAAUGGAUACUUAUUGUGCUGUGGGGCAUGUGGAGCUGUUUACAGAAGAAACGUUUCUCACUUCACCUUUCCAUUGUCCCAAUAAAAUUGCAAAUUAAUCUUUUAUAGUGAAGGUUGCUGCAACGUCAACUCGUACUUUUUGUUAUCAAGUGCUAAAAGCAGCAAUUCUCUCAUAGAUGGGUUUUGCUGACUUCCAAUAACAUGUCAUGAGCGGCAUGGCUGCCAUAAAAAUGUGGCCUGCCAUCACUCUAUCUACCAUUCUUUGUUGUGUUAGAGAAACAUUUAAAUAAUCAGGAUACCAUUCUUUGUUGUGUUAGAGAAACGUUUAAAUAAUCAGGAUAAAAUGUUAUAAGUGACGGGUCUAUCUUCUUUAUCAAUGAAUGGAUCCCAUGCCAGAACCCAGGAGCUUUACAUAGUGCCACCAUAUAUGAGAUUAUGCACCCAUGUCACCACAACCCCUCCAACAUCGAUCUGAAAAAUCUGCUUUCAUUUAAUGGAGUCUUGAUGGGGCAGACAUCAACGGGAUAACAUUUUUAAGUACUGUAAUUUCUUAGGCAAACAAAGUAAAUAUAUAUAUAUAUAUAUAUAUAUAUAUAUAUAUAUAUAUAUAUAUAUAUAUAUAUAAUGUAGAACUAUGAGGAUAUAUUUCAGAAUGAAAACAUUGCAUAAAAAUUCAGGCUUUUGUUUUUCAUUGAUAAAGUCCAACUUGUGCAGGAAAACUGUUGGGUGAGUUCUGGUUGUUAAACACUGUCACAUUUUGUUUGCCAAAGAGUUUUUAAAAAAACAUUAAAAUUAACGUGAAAUCAAAAACAUGCAAAGAAUAAAUAAAAAUACACUGCCUUUUGUUUAGUGCUUAACAAACCAGGAAGUGCUAAGACAUCUCAGUCAAUUAGAGUCCUUUGAUUACUUCCAAAGUGAGAGCUGAGCAAUACCAUAUAUGAUUGGCUAGCAAAAGUUUGUAGUUCAGUACUUGGUAGCAGUUUUGCUCUUUAAAAUACACAAGCUAACAGAAGCUACACUGUGUGUCCUUCUCCUUGCUAUGCUUGUGUAUCCAUAAUCUAUGGCAACUUGUUACCCCGUAACCAUGUCAUUUUUAUGUGCCACCUCCAUGCUCUCCUUAUGUGCUCCCUCCAUACCCUUCUUGGGUCCACUACCUCAUAUCCCCCCAUGUGUGCUCCAUACAGAACUUAAAGGGUUGUUGUCAUGGCAGUUUACACUUAACAGAAUUGAGAUCCUCUUCCCAUUUCAUCUAUGCAUUGUGCAAGCUAUAUCACUAGCAAUUGUAUAGAUUUGUGUAAAAUCUAUGUCUGUCUGCCUUAGUACACGUCUACAGGCAGUCUGUAAGCUGUUCUUAUGUCCAGCUUCAAAUUCUGCAUAUCAAGUGUGUCCUGUGCAUGUCAUUGGUAUCAGCGACAUGUCUAAAGGACCACUAUAGGCACCCAGACCACUUCAGCUCAAUGAAGUGGUCUGGGUGCCAGGUCAAUCUAGGGUUAACCCUGCAGCUGCAAACAUAGCAGUUUUAGAGAAACUGCUAUGUUUACAUAAGGGUUAAUCCAGCCUCUAGUGGCUGUCUCACUGACAGCCGCUAGAGGCACUUCCGCGCUUCUCACUGGGAUUUUCACAGUGAGAAGACUCUACUGUCCAUAGGAAAGCAUUGAGAAAUUUGGCGGAUGACGUCGGAAGAGGGAGGAGAGUCCCCAGCGCCGAGGGAGCCCGGCACUGAAGAAAGGUAAGUGUUUAACACCUUAACCCAUCUUGAGCCCAGCGGUGAGGGGAACCCUAUAGUGCCAGCGGUGAGGGGAACACUAUAGUGCCAGGAAAACAAGUUGAAUGUAAAGUCUUACUAGAGGAGCCAUGCCAAGUGUGGGGAAGCCUUACUAGGAUUUCCAAAUGGAGACUGUCUACCGAAGCAGGUUGCCACCCAUGAAGGCGAGCUAAUGGCAGCACUGGAUCCUUUAGGAAGUAGGUAAUUAUGGUGAAAACUCACCAGUGCUCCACAGAAUGUGGGUAAAAAAAAGUAUCUUUUCGGACUGCACAUAACAAGGGGAAAACAUUGCCCAGGAGUAUAAAAAUAGAUUACAGUUUUACUUUAGCUUAGGAGUAAAACAUCAAUUUCCUUCUCCGAGGUGAGUAAAGCAUUAUCAAGGCUGAUUUUAAUUAUAAACAAGUGUUUUGUCGUUCAGCAUACUGAAAUUAAAUUGAUACAUGUGUUUUGCACUUAUCAGAGAAGUGAACUAAUUACUUCUCAAAGGUAGCCACUAGAUUGGCAGACCCAGAGGUUGCAUUAGAACACAUGGUAGCACCCUGCAGGGGAUUGAAAAAUUAGGUAAUUCUGUUCAGUAUCUGACAGGCACAUAGCCACAUCACAUAAACCAUCAAAGUGUAACUGGUUACUCUCAUUUUACAAAGGAUGAAAUCAGAGUAAAAUUGUUGGAAUUGUGAGAUAAUUUAAGAAAUCGGUACUCUUCCUGAAUUAAGAUUGCACUGGUGAACACUAGGUUGCAUGAUACAGUUCAAGGGAAUUGCUAGUAAUUGCAUUUUCAGCUACAAUGGGCGUCAUAGUGCAUUCAGUAAAUUCUUACAAAUUUCAGUAGUACAUUUCAUGAAUAGUGCUCUUGCUAAGGUAAGUACUUUUUCUAUUCAAGUGAUGGGGUCUAUAGUUCCAUAAGUAGAGUUUUAAUGUACACUCUAAGCACCAUAACCACUACAACAUGCACUCGAAGAAAUCCAUAGACAUAAACUAACAUGCAUUCAUAGACACACACUAUGAGAUAACAUUGACACACACUCAUUCUCAAGCACACAUUAGGACACACACAUAGCCUUUGUAUAUGUACUAAUGUGUGUACGUGAGUAAGUGUGUGUCUACAGUGUCUCCUAGUGCAGGGAUGGGCAACCUUUGGCACAAAUUUAAAGGAACAGUAUGGGAUAAGGAACACACACAUGUAUUCCUGACCCUAUAGUGUUUAAAACACUAUCUAGCCCCCUGAUUCCCCCUUGUUACCUUAAAUAUAGUAAAUAUAUUGUUAUUCCAGUCUGCUGGUGCUGGCGUAUCCCCUGAUCCACCCCUUUGGUUGACAUCAUCAGAAUUGAUGAUAUCAGCCAAUCACAAUACUUUCCGAUAGGCGGGCUAGGGGGCAGAUGCAAACACUGUCCUGGUCAAUCAGCAUUUCCUAAUAGAGAUGUAUUGAAUUAAUGCAUCCCUAUGACGGACGUUCAGUGUCUCCAUGCAGAGGGUAGCGACACUGAAUGUCAGUGCUGUACAUUAUGCAGCAUUGCCCCAGGAAGCACCCAACUAACACCCAAAGUAGCCAUUUAAGGUGUGGCCGGUGGAGUUAUCACAAGUCUGUAAUGUAAACACUACAUUUUCUCUGAAAAAUCAGUGUUUAAUGCAAAAAGCCUGAAGGGAGUGAUUAUACUCACCAAAACAAAUACAAUAAGCUGUAGUUGUUCUGGUGAUUAUAGUGUCCCUUUAAGUAAUGUCCAAACAUAUUUCAAGCAGCAAUUUCCAUCUGUUAUAUAUUGGCACAGUGGAACCUCGGAACUCGAACGUAAUCCGUUCCAGAAGGCUGUUCGAGUUAGAUUUGUUCAAGAACCAAAUCAACAUUUCCCGUAGGAAUUAAUGUAAAUUUGUUUAAUCUGUUCCAGACCCCCACAAUUACAUGGAUGGGGAUAGGUAACUGUUCUUCUGGCAUUACAUACAAAAGCAUAUAAAAUGGCUGUAUCAGGUUCAAAAUAUCUGAUACCCCUCUUUCCUCUGCUUGUAUCCUUAUUUCCAUAGUCCCUCUUCCCUUACUUGUGUCCCUUUGUCCUUUGAUAUCCUUCUCCUCAUAUUUUCUUCUAUCUCCAUGCAUACUAAUUCUGUCCAUAUCCCUUCACCCUUUACUUGUGUCCCUCUGCCCUCUGGUUUUCCUCUCCCUAUAUUUUCCUCUGUCCCUUUACAUAGUCCAUCUGCCCAUAUUUCCUCAUCUCACGCUUGUAUCCCAUGCUUCCCCACACUUGUGUCCCUCUGUGAAUGCCGCGUGAUGUGUUCGGGUACCGAGGAUCGUUUGCGUAACGAGACAUUUUUUACGCAAAAUUUUAGUUCGACUUCCGAAUUGUUCGAGAACGGGAACGUUCGAGUUCCGAGGAUCCACUGUAUUAGGACAGCAGCCCUAUUAACAGGAAUCUGAUCAAAUAUGGAGUAGACUAUACCUGCUAUACAUUAGCACAUUAGAAGAUCUCUCCUCUAGUUCACCCCAUCCCCACCUCUGCCUAGCUGUAAGCUCAGUUUGAAUCAGCUGUAUAGUGCAAAUUGCUUCACACAAUAGGCCAGGGAUCUCAAACUCUGCCCGCUCCCCUCCCAUAUGUUAAUGGGCUACAACUCCCAGAAAUCUUUGAAUGCAAUAGAAGUUUAGAGAAUCGUGGAAGUUGUAGUUCAGCAGAGUAGAAGUUGCCAGUGGACUUAAAAUCUUGUUACAAAUGACGAGUGGAAAAAUACAUCUGAGAACAUGCUUUAAUUGAGCCAAGCUGUUUAUGCUGUUUUCUCAUAGAUGUGUUUGUAGAUGUGUGUCUAUGCAAAGUGCUUCACAGCAGAAAGAUUUGGUGGCAAGGGACAGAAAAAUAAAAUAAAUAGCAGUGAGUGCACAACUAGCAGCAGCUGUGUACCUCUCUGUGUGAGCUCUGGGUAGCAGGGACCUUUCCCUGUAUUAAGGAAAGCUCUGUAUCCGAAUAAACUGUAAAAUACUAGAUAGCAUUCAUUCCUGCAGAGGAACUGUAAACGGCAACACUGUAUUCUAGCAACCAUGAAACGAUUAUAUGGUAAGAUUUUGAAUGCUUUUGUAGUAUGGUGUAUGAUAAGGGAUAGAAAGAAAGAUUUUGCACACUGCAAUAAAAGCCUGCAUUGCUGUGCAUGAUAUAGAACUGUGCAUCCUUGGGGCUAAGUACAUGCAUUUAUUGUAUGUGAGCCCAUGUACAGAUAUUACAUGAACAUUCUGUUGAUCGUUUUAGGAAUCUACAUUGCAAAAAAAAAAAUGCAUUUUACAUAAAUGUUUAAAGGAGCAAUUCAUGCACCAUAACCACUACAGUGCGCUGUAAUCGUUAUGGUACCAAGAGUAAGAGUCUCCUGACACCAGUGGUGGCUCUAGACUUUGUGAGGCCUUAGGCGAAACUGAAACAUGGGGCCCCCACUAACACCCAAAGUUAAAAUAAAUAGGCGUUCAUUGUGUGUGUAUAAGGUGCAUUAGUUAUAUUGAAGGGCAGUCUUGCAGUGCUGGAUACAGAGAAUAGGUCUCUGCAUUUAUUGUUUAGAGACUUGCGGUGUCAUGGCGCCCUGUGCCGCUGCGUUGUGAGCUCUCUGGCAGUAGUUGUAGCAUAAUUUGCAAACUAAAUUAUUUUGCAAUAAACACAUUUAAUUAGCAAUUAUGCUAAUCGUUUAUACAUGAAUGCAGGGUAUGGUUACAUUGCGUUCGUGUAUGCAUAAGUGCAGGAGUGUGUAUUUUUGAGUGUGUCUGACAAAGAGUAUCCUUGUGUGCGAUUUUAUGUCUUUGUGAGCAUGUGUCUGGGACAGUGUGUGUGUGGGGAAGCUGCUUGCGGUCUGUUGUGUUAAUGGGGGCUGCCUGUGGCCUUUAUGCAUGUGUGUGUGUAUGAUGAAUGUCUUCAGUUUGUGACUGUGACAAGGUGAAUAAAAGGGUAUCUGUGGCAGGAUGAGUGUGACAAGGUGAAGGGGGUUAAUGAGACAGGGUUGGGGGGGUGAGUGUGACAGAAUGAGGGAGGAUGAGAAUGGUAGGGUCUGACACCCUACUAGAAUACUUUUUCACACCAUUAACAGAAUGGUUUGAUUACUUACCCAGGUUCCCAGAUUCCAGAACUGCAUCAAGCUUCUCAUUUGAGCUAGGCGUAGUUUGAUACAGGGCCUCGCUCAUUGGCUGACAGCACCCGGCUGGUAUUCUCAGCCAAUGAGAGCAGAUGUUAAUCGCCCUGCUUAGCUCAGUGGAGCAGGCCAGCUUCUGUCUGCUAGUAAGACGGUAAGGAGACAAGUGGACAUGUGAGUGCUAGGAGGCAGUCCUUAGAAAGUAAAAUUCUUUGGGCAGACUCACCUCCUUUUUGGGCAUGAUCCGCGUCAGUGGCCCACCUUUUUACACCACCCAUUAACUUCUUGCUUCACUGGACACUGCUGUUAGGGGGUAUGGAUUUACUUAAAAGAUGAAAGCAUGAAUUAGAGAGAGAUUAGCAUAUUUUAAGACAAUCUGAGUUUUUUAAUAGCUGUAUCCUAUGAGUUUCCCUCCAGCAACAUCUCCACCAGAUACAUAACGCUUGAGAGGUAUGACUGUUUUAGUGUUUUUAGUCGAUAAUAUUCUGUACUUAGGCCCCUCAUAAUUGUCAGCACCAGGCCCACUGGGCUCUUAAUCUGGCCCUGGUCACAUGCCAGGUUAAAAACAUACGAAAAAUUUUCAUCAUUAGUAUAUGUUAGGGAUCUGCCUUUUCUCCAUGAAAACAGUUACUAAUCAUAUUUUUUUGGUUUAUUGUAAUUUCUGCAGAAUAGUCCCACAGAGCAAACUGAAAACUGCUUGCACCCUGCAUUACUUUUCAGCAAGUUUUUAUUUUUGUAAAUUUAAAGAGGGGCCAUCACUUUUCUGGAAAUUACACUAAUACAAUUUAAUAGAACAGUGAAAAUCCCCUAUAACUUAUGUUAAUCUUUUUUUUUCAUAUGAUGCUCUGUUUUCUUUUAAAUGUAUGUUAUAACGGCUCUGUCAUAUCCCACUCCACCCCCACUACCCUCUCCUCUUCCUCUCGAAAAUGAAUAUCUCAUAAAGAUAAAAUCUAUAUAAAAUACUAACAUUGACUGUGUUGGAAUUUUACUCAAAUUCCAACACAGUCAAAUGCUAAACUAAGACAAAGUAGGGACUGCUAUGUCUUAAAAUGUUUCCUAUACUUGAAGUAACUUGACAAAAGAUGAAGCUAAUGCCUCGUUUCCACUGAGCGGAGUGGUUCAGUUCAGUUCGGUACGGUUUGCUAUUUUGGGUGUUUCCAUUGUGAAAGUGGUCCAUAUAAGCAAACCGUACCGAUCCAUUCAGGGUCCUGCUUCAGAUGUAGGGCCAUAGGAAAUGGAACGGUUCGGUUAGGGCGGAGCUACUAUACAAUCCAUUGAUUGGUGGACAGGAAGAGCAUUUUUUCUAAACCCUGCAUGGCCCCUGAAGGUCUGGCUUGCAGUGGAAACACUCACCAGAAUGAGUGUUUUGGUGGCAAGGGUUCCAAACUGUACCGACCCGAACCAACCCGCUCAGUGGAAACAAGGCAUUAUCCAAUUGGAUCCUCAAUAGACCUCUGUUGUACUCUCACACAUGCCCCUGUACUCUUGCGCAUGUCCUAGAGCUCAGGCCAUAAGCAGGCCCUCCUCGAGCUCUUGUAUGGUCCUUUAAAUAAAAAUUACUGUCUGGGGAACCGUGUUCUAAUUGGCAGCAUUUUCGGGAUUUUCAGCAUGUGCUCUGACUUCCUCACAGAGCAUCGGAUCAGAAGGUGCAAAUAAUAUGGUCUGCUCCACCACAGACCUGAAGCUACACUGGGAGCCUGCCUUUAACUCUCCCACAUCAUCCCUCUUCUCGGGUCGCCAAUGUUGCGUUGUAUGUAUUGGUAAAGAAGCUCCCACAGAGAAGUAGAGAGACAAAAGGCCAAGCAAGGAGCUCUUUUAAAUUCCCUACAGCUUGAGGAAGGCUUCAUCAAACCUUGUCUGUACCAGUGCACUAGACAGCAGCCUUGUUGGCCUGAUGGGUAAUCCAGCUCUGCAGACACCUAAGCGAGACUGUAAUUUUCCAAUGUUCCCAGAUAAUCUAAAUAAAAGUUUCUUAUAAUUUAAAUGACCAGAUACAGGCAUUAGUUUGAUAAUAAUUAUGAUCUCUGCCUUUAUAACGAAUACAUAUAUAAAUGAUACGGCUACAAAACUGUGGAGUAGAUUAAAACUGUGGAGUAGUGGUUUUAAUCUCUUCAUUUUAUUUAAUUAAUUUUAUGAGUGGUCACAUAGUACCGGUAUAAUAUGACGUUGCUUAUUCAAAGAAACAUGCUCCUUUAUUCUAGUCCAUUCGAUAUUACUGUAGAAGAGACACUUUUCCUUAGCCGUGAGCUCAGGAACAAGGGCUACAUGAGAACAGCUCAGUGGGAGCCCAGCACUGACAGUAUGUAGGCAAGUGUGAGACAUAUAACACAGACAAGACUGCACACAGCAGGAAUCCUGCUAUAGCUACCUGCCUGGAAACAAAUCAACACUCGAGAGCAUAAUUCUAAUAUAUUAUUUACAAAACAAUUCCCAAGCCAUGUUCAUACAACAUAAAGAUACAGUAUCGACACAUAGGUUUGCCCAAAGUUAUAACUACGGUACAUUUUUAAGGAAAUAUUCUUUACUUUAGUGAAAAAUGCAUACAAUUUCCUGUUUGUUUUUUCCUGCAGAAAAAAUAUAAUCAUAAUAUAUUAUUUUACUCCGCCAGAGCAAUAUGUAAACACAGCCCAUUGCUAAUAAAAGCAAGAAAUGUGAUUGCCUUUCAUAUCAAAGUACAAUUCACAGUACAUUUAUAAAACCACACACAGUAAACACUCUCCAACACAAAGUAACAUGAUAACUUAUUCACCAAGAAAGUGUCAAGUGAAAGUGUCUCUCUUAUCUACACUUGCUUUUUGGACUGGGCAUUCCCUCGACACCCUGCUCUCCAAAAAAAUGUCAGUUAAUAGGGGCCCCUACUAGCCUUUUUUAAGCAGGGAAACAUGGUAUACAACCCCAUUAUGUAUGUAAGGUGGUAACACCUGGCCAAAACUUUAUGGUGCAAUUCUUAAAGGAUCAGCAUUUAUGAUCCUCAUUUUUUUGCAAGAUGGUACAGUAAUCAAGCCAGGGAGGAUUGGUACCUACUGCGUGCCCCUGGUCUGCAAAUUUACCAUUCAGCAUCUGCAGUGGAUUAUCAAAUAUGACAGUCAAGUGAAAGUCUAAUAAACAAGUCAAAAAUGAGGAAAAUAUAUUUAUAUUUAUUCUUCAGCAUCGGGACUCAUUUUUAUACCAAGAGCUGCCAUCAGGGAGUGCAGGCAGUUUUGAUAUGGGGUCUGCUCAGCUCAGCUAAAGGUACUUGGGAGAGCGAGUGGGUCUCUGUACAUGUGUGUAUGUGGCAGUGGGUAUAUGUGUGUGGCAGGUUGCAUAGGACAGUGUGAAUUUAUCCAUGUAUCAUUAUGUAUAUGGGUAUGUCUGGCAGUGUGUAUAUGUAUAACUGUCUGUCUAUGUGUGUGUGUUUGUGCAUGCCUGUGAGAGUGUAUGAUGGGUGGUCCAGCCAGUGGUUUUGUAAAGCUAAUAUAUUAGCUAAUAAAAUAGUGAUGUAGACUAUUUUUUAGACUAAGGCACACUUCAAUGAAAGAAAGUCCCACCUACUGUUUUUUUACACUUUUCAAGGGGUAUAAAUGUCAGUUUUGUUUGUAGCCUUACUAUUGACAUAUGUGUAGCGGAUGGCCAUGAGCUGCCCUGGGACUUGUAUUAUGUUUAACCUGUAUUCGUCUAUUUGCUAAAUGUAUAUGCAGUAAGGGAAUGCAUUCGUGUAAAAUACCAAAUUUCUAUGUGCUAAAUGUAUUGUAUUCGUCUGAAUGUUAGGUAGUUUCAUUCCCUUAGUUUGUUCGAAUGAAACUACCGAACAGUCAGACCUCCCCUGUGUGAAGUGUGCCUUCAAUUACCCGUUGCAACAUUGUUGCGAACGGGUAAUUGACAAGCUUUGUAGCAAUCCUUUGUUCUCGGGGGUGGCUGCCAUUCAGGAAACGAACACGUGGCGGCGGCCAUCUUAAACUCCCAAACAGCGGUGUUUUGCCGUCGAGUGUCUGGAACUCAAAACGGACACUCAACUAGGCGAACACCGCUGAGACCUCCAUCAGCCCAGUCCGUUCGGUUCCAAACUACCGAACGGCCCCUCGUUCGGUAGGCAUAAUCAACCGAACGAGGGGAUUCAGGCGAACCCUCCCCAGCCUCUAUAGCUGGAGGCUUUCAUGUACUUCAUUCGCCUGUUCCAGGACAAUCGCAUGGAGCCCAAUUCGGCUAGUUCAUGCAGUGCGGUCGGUCAUUUUAUUCCCUCCAUGAAAUUCCCAAACCCCUGGUCUGAUCUGGGUGAUUUUUGGAUAUGUUGUUCACCCAGAUCAGGGCUACCAGGGGAUGCAUAAUUUAAAGUGGUACCCCUAAGUUUAGGGGUACAUCCAGAAAUGGGGGGAAUUGCUGUACUGGAUAAGGGGAUUAUGAUGCCGCUUGAGGGGAGGAGAUGUGUGGGAGGUUACCAGGACAGGAUUGGCUAUUGUGUUAAUGAAUGUAAUCCCUCCCUUGCAUGGGAGCAUGCUUUAAAAGGCCACUGUGGAAUAAAGCUUUCAGUUCUGCUCCUGAUACUGUGUGUCGUCCAGUCAUUGGGAUUGCUGUACUAUUGGAUUAUUUUGCCUGUUGGAAACCUUGCCUGUGGAUUUAUAAUUUACUUGUUCCUGAGCCUCACUGGGAUCUUAAGCGGAGAUAAUCUGUGGAAUAUUGUAUCUCCGCUACAAUAUGCAACAUGUAUUACAUAUAUGUUUAGCUGUAUUGCUUUCAAAAUUUUAAUUUUAAUUAAUUGUCAGACAGUAAUUGCCAACACAAACACAAUCUUUUGAUGCUUCUGUUUCGUUGUCAUUUGCAAACUGAAUCCUAAAUAAAGUGUUAUAAAAUACAUUUUAGGACUUCCUUUAACAGCUAUAAUGUAAGUGUGUUUAAGGAACAUGUUGGGGUGACUUGCAGAACACCAGGUUCCAUAGCAUACUUGUUGAAAAUCACUGCUCAAAACGAAUUUAGACAUUGCAGUGCUAUAUUGUAUUAAAGUGUGGUUAAUGUAUAAAUAAGGGCAUGGCAGUGUUUUGUUUUAUCAAAAUAAAUUUAUUUUUUUCUGCCUCAUUGUUGUGUAUCCUAGCAGCUAGUUUUCCCAGAUUAGAAGAGCAAACAUGGAUAGAUCCAAAAUUUAAUAACAGAAAGAAAAUAGUUUAGAGAGGUAUGUAGCAAGUGCCAGGCCAGCAUUAAGCAAUAGAGAGAAGCAGCGAGAUAGUUAAUGGUAGGUAGGUUAUUUUGGGGAUGGCAUUUGCUCUCCUCUCCCCUCCAACCUUGUUUUGAAGAAUUUGAGGUCCAGGUAUUCCUCACUUUACGAAUUACCUGCUUUGCAGCUGCUCAGACUUAGGACCAGCUCUCUAGCACAGGGAUUCGAUAGGUUCUCCACAUUAGAGAGCUGGUCUAUGUUCGGGGGAAUUCCCCCUAAUAUAGAUCUGCUCUCUACCGCAUGCUCUCCAGAGCAUUCUCACUUACCGACCAAUUCAUUUUACAACCAAGUCAUAAGAACGGAACCCGGUCGGUAAGUGAGGGCUGUCUGUACUUGUAGCAAAUGUUUUAUUUUCUUAUUUCCUUUCAAUAUAGUAUAUGGUCUUGAGGCAAUAUGCACAUAGGUCUCUGAUUAUCACAUGCACCAGGAAAUCUUUGCCAUUAAUUUGCCAAUAUGUGUGAGACGGGAAUGGCUUAUGUCCAUUUGCUUGUUGAUGUGUUCCAUAUAGACCAAGUGUGGCAUAUAUGGCCUAUAGACCAACACUCAUAUUUUGAAUUUAUUUUAAGGAGAAAUUGAUAUAUCAUAUCUUUUCAGGAAGUUUAUAAAAAAUAGUCACUCAGAAAAGUUCAUCUCAAUGAAAUAGUCUGGGUGCAGUAGUCAUGUUCUUUUAACAUUACAAUGUAAAGCAUUGCAGUUUUUUAGAAACUGCGAUGGUCGCAUUGCAGGGUUAAAUCCACCUAUAGUGGCAGUCAUUAGUGGCACUUCUGCAGCACUGACCUAAUCAAAAGGUCUCGUGACAUGGAAUCCCACAGGAAAGCAUUGAAUACAAUGCUUUCAUUUGGGCAUGUUUGACUGCAUGCGCCCAGUGCGCAUACACAUUAGGCCCUCAACAGUCUAAUGUAUAUUUUGAAUAUUCAUUUUAGCACUUUAAUUUAUAGUAUAAUUAAAGGGACACUAUAGUCACCUGAACAACUUUAGCUUAAUGAAGCAGUUUUGGUGUAUAGAACAUGCCCCUGCAGCCUCACUGCUCAAUCCUCUACCAUUUAGGAGUUAAAUCCCUUUCUUUAUGAACCCUAGUCACACCUUCCUGCAUGUGACUUGCACAGCCUUCCAUAAACACUUCCUGUAAACAGAGCCCUAUUUAGGCUUUUUUUAUUGCAAGUUCUGUUUAAUUAAGAUUUUCUUAUCCCCUGCUAUGUUAAUACCCUGCAAGAGCUUCCUGUAUGUGAUUAAAGUUCAAUUUAGAGAUUGAGAUACAAUUAUUUAAGGUAAACUACAUCUGUUUGAAAGUGUAAACAGUUGUUUUUUUCAUGCAGGCUCUGUCAAUCCUAGCCAGGGGAGGUGUGGCUAGGGCUGCAUAAACAGAAACAAAGUGAUUUAACUCCUAAAUGACAGUGAAUUGAGCAGUGAAAUUGCAGGGGAAUGAUCUAUACACUAAAACUGCUUUAUUUAGCUAAAGUAAUUAAGGUGAUUAUAGUGUUCCUUUAAUAAAUGUCAUAUAUACAAUUUAAAAAUAUAUUUAUAUAUCUACAAGCACAACUAGCAUAUUUGCCUCAGAGCUUGGUGAGCAAAAUAUGAUAUGUGUGCACAACUAUAAAUUUCUAUUUACAAUACUUUAAUUGCUGUGAUCGUGCCAUAGCAACAAAUAACAAGCUAACCAAUUAGCUAUUGAUUUUAUCACAAUGGUUCCAUUUAGCCAUUUUCUGCUUUCACGUUACGAAGUACAUUUUAUAGUGUUUUCUUACUUUUUUAGUUAACAGAAUGAUGGUUAUAAUCAUUAAUGGUAGUCCUUUUACUGUUUUUUUUAAAAUGUGUUUGUUUGUGUAUAGGUCAAUAAACUGCAAACUUCCAUGGGUACCCUUAUUUGUUGUUGUUUUUUACUUUUAGAACUCUAAAAAAAUGCCUUAGUCUCUCAGCACAUCAACAAUUUAUCUGAAUGAAAGAAGAAUCUACAUUUUAAAACUUCCCUUAAAGACAUUAUUACCCUAAAGACUUAUAAAUAUCACAAUAUAAUUUCUUGUAUGUGAACAUACACUAUGUACAUUUAACUGACAACCAAAGAAACAAGCCAAGUGUGUCUAUAUGUUGUUAGUUUCAUUCAGGGGAGGGCUGGCAGCCUUAGGCCUGGGGGGCAAAUCCAGUCAAGUGGCCCAUUGCACCACCAAAUCAGUGCAAUGGUGCCCACCCUUUCCUGGUUUUAUAACGGAUAUUGAUGUUAUGCUAAUCAGUAGCUCUUUGCCAUACCCACUCCUUCACGGCUCUGAUUUUCAAUGUUGUCAGAGCGCAGGCUGAGAAUCUCUGAGCCUGUGCUCUGACUCACUAACUGAGCGUCGGAACCACGAGGGAGAGGCUAUAAUCUGACUGCACCUACUGCUGUUGCACACGAGUGGACCACCAGCGAAUUGUUUAAAUUGAAUAGGCUGGUGUCCCCAACUUGUGAGCUGUGUUGUCCGCGGGGCGCCUCUAUUGUGAUGGCACCCUGCGUGACCGCACAGUGUGCACACCCCAACGGCUGGCCCUGCUGACACACACUGAUGUUACUACUUAGAAAUCCCUCAAUAUUAAUACAGACAUCAGAGUAAACACUAAUAAACUGUGGAAACAGAGCUGAUCCCCCCAAAUUUAUAAAGAUUUGCUUACUGGAUUUGUUGUAAGAUUAAAUCAUGCCUCCUCCUCUCUCUCUCCCAUGCGCUGCUCUGUAGGCUGGGAGGAAGUGAAGAGUAAUCACAAUCUCCCAGCACAGCGGCACCUGUGGCUGCAUGGGGAACAGCUGUAUUUGCCGUCCCCCAUGUGACAUCACAAUGCCCCACCUAUAUGAGCUGCCAUACGAACUAACGCCAGUGCUGCCCACAGUGCGUGUUUACAUUAAAAAGCCUGCAGGGACCGGCUAUAGACACCAGAACCACUUCAUUAAGCUGCAGUCGUUCUGGGGACUAUAGUGUCCCUUUAAUGUGAGGUAAAUUAUAGAUUAGUGUCACUAAUAAUAUACCUAGAUUGCCUACUUACAACAAGAUGAGGAUGAUGAUGGGCUGCAGUUUGGCUCCACUGGUCUGGUGUAGAACAGGAUCUCUGGAGGCUGUUUGAAACUGUGGUCACAAAAUUCAAUGUUCUGGGAGAAUUGGAAGCAGCUCCAUUUUUGGGGGGCCCCUUACACAGCUCAAGUUCUGGGCCCCAGGGCCUGACUGUGAGAAUGCCCACAAGGCCCACUCAUAANNNNNNNNNNNNNNNNNNNNNNNNNNNNNNNNNNNNNNNNNNNNNNNNNNNNNNNNNNNNNNNNNNNNNNNNNNNNNNNNNNNNNNNNNNNNNNNNNNNNUCCUCCCCUUCGCUUCUCCUUCCCCCUUUUCACCUCUCCUCCCCUUCACCUCUCCUCCCCUCCCCUCCCCUUUUCAUCUCUCCUUCCCCCCCUUUUCACCUCUCCUUCCCCCUCCCCUGUAGCGUGGCCGAGCUGCUCUGCUGUCCGCGGUGCCCGGCUGGACUGAUAGGAAGGAGUGUGCACUUACUGUCAGUCUGACCAGUUACAGGAAACAGAAACUCCUGUUCCGCGCGGAGUUUCUGUUUCUUGUAACCGGCCGGACUGACAGGAAGUGCACACUCCUUCCUAUCAGUCCGGCCGGGCACCGCGGACAGCUGAGCAGCUUGGCCACGCUACAGGGGAGGGCAAGGGAGGAGAGGAGCAGCCGCAGCCGCCUGAGGCUCUUCACAGAGCGCUCAGGCGGCUGCAGCAUUUAAAGGGCCGGCCCUGCAGCGGCCGCUCCUAACAGAAUUUAGGGCGGCCUGGGGGGCAUUUGCCUCCCUGCCCCCCGGCCCAGCCUGCCCCUGGUUUCAUUUAUAAUCUUUAAUGUUACAUAGAAUGUGACGGCAGAUAAGAACCAUUCGGCCCAUCUAGUCUGCCCAAUUUUCUAAAUACUUUCAAGAUAAGGCCAGGGACUAAUGAAAGUAUUUAGUAAAUUGGGCAGACUAGAUGGUUCUUAUCUGCCGUCACAUUCUAUGUAACAUUGAAGAUUAUAAACGAAACUAACAACAUAUAGACACACUUGGCUUGUUUCUUUGGUUGUCAGUUAAAUGUACAUAGUGAGCAAAAAAUAAAAAUAAAAUGAAUGCACCCUCCCACCCGCCUCUACUGAAACCAUCCAUUGGUUAGCAGUUAUCAUUUUGCAACUUUGACUUAUAUCAAGAAGAUAUCUAGGACUGAGUACUCUGUUAUGAAUAAUGUUCAAAUAUCCGGUGCUUGUACCCCUAGCCAAUAACUAUACUAUCCAAGAAGAGACGCCCUCAAGUUUUUUUUUUUUUAAUCCAGAAUGAUAACAAACAAGGUCGACAUUUUCAGACAUUUAUGCGCUCUGUUUCACUAUGCUCCAUCUAGUUGGUGUCAUUAUUGCUUAGACAGACUAUAUUAUUUGCCUUUGCAGUGGUGUAUCCUGGUUUUGUGCUGCCCUAGUCCGGGUGGGUAUUAGACCUGAAAGCAGACCACUGCAUGCUGCCAGAACAGGGACAAGUCACCAUCACAGUGGGAGAUAUUCCUCAAUGAGUAGCCCACAUGAAAAGUUAAGCUAAUUGCCUGGCUAACAAAAAGCAGAACAAUACUGGUUAUGAAUUCCCCUCACACGGGAACAACACCAUCUAACUACCAACUGAUCAUCUGCCUCCCCAAAACACGGAAGGUCCUGUCAGGCAUCACAGCUUUCAAGAUUGAUGGGUAUAUGAGCCAAUACAUCAGAAGGCAAUAGGAAACAACACCAGAUGAUCAAAACACCAAUUGCUGGUAGACCAAACAGCCACACAGGAUUCUAACACCAUACAGACCAAUUUUUGCACUGCCUAGAUUGACUACAAGAAAUCCUAUGCCACGAUGCCACACACAUGGAUACUGGAAUGCUUGGCUCUAUACAAGGUCAGCAAGACACAAGAGCCUUCAUCAAUAACUCGAUGGGCAAAUGGACAACAACUUUAGAAGCCAAUUCCAGGACAAUGACUUCAAGUGAAUAUCAAAUGUGGCAUAUAGCAAGGUGAUGCACUAUCCCCAAUGCUGUUCUGCAUAGAUCUCAACCCACUUAGCCAGAUCAUCAUGAAGAGUGGAUAUGGAUACAGGUGCAAUAGUGGAGUUUCCAUCAGCCACCUACUCUACUUGGAUGACAUCAAGCUGUAUGCCAAGAGUAAGAAGAACAUUUACUCAAUGAUCCAAUAACUAGGAUAGACAGCAAGAGCAUCAAAAUGUUGUUCAGGCUCUAUAUGUGUGGGUGGAUAAUAGCAAAAAAAGGUAAGAUGAUCUGGAGAAAAGGAGAUCAAGUACCAGAAGGUCAAAUAGGAGUUGUAGGGAACAUCUACAAGUACCUAGGGAUAACACAAACACAUGACAACCGUGACCAAGAUGCAAGAAGGAUAGCAACAUCCAAGUACCUCCAGAGAGUCAGACAUUCUGAAGUCCUAGCUCAAUGGCAAGAAUAAGAUCAAAGCCACCAACACAUAUGCCCAACCAGUCUUUAUGUAAUGCUGCUGGAAUAAUCACCUGGUCAAGAGAAGAGCUAGUCAUCGUGGAUGCCAAGACCCAGAAACUACUCACUAUGAAUGGAGGAUUCCACCUGACAUCCAGUACCCAGAGACUGUACACCAAAAGGAAGGAAGGUGGUCGGGGCCUUAUGAGUGUCAAGGUAACAGUCCUGGUUGAUACACAAAGCAUCCACAAUGAGCACAAAGCAUCCACAAGUACAUCAUGAAGAUGGCUCCUAAUGAUGAAUUGCUUAUUGAAUUCCUGCGACAACAACAGAUAGAAGAUGCAGAAAAGAAGGUUCCAUGGGAAAACUAAACUCUUCUACCACAAAGGGUAGUCAAAAAUGACAGGGUUAAGAUCCUGUGGGAUGUUCAGAUCCAGGCAGACAAGCAAGUAACCAACCAACCUGACAUUGUGGUGGUAGAUAAGGAAAAAAAGACUGCAGUAGCGGUGGAUGUAGAAAUACGCAGUGACUAUAACAUCAGGAAGAAGGGACAUGAGAAGAUGAACAAAUACCAAGGACUGAAAGAUGAGCUAGGAAGGAAAUGAAAAGUAAAGAUAGUAGUAGUCCCAGUUGUGAUAGGAGUUUGGGAGUGGCUUCAGCAGAUUCCAAAUGGAACAUCAGAGAUCGCUGUCCAGAACAGUUCAGUUCUAUGAACAGCUUAGAUACUGCACAGAACCCUCAGACUCCCAGGCUUCUGGUAGAGGACCGAGAAUGAGGAAUGCACAUAAAUAUCACCCAGACGGGUGAGAAAAUUCAAUUAUAUAAAUCCAGCCCAGUUGCUACCUAAUGCCUGUCUUCUACAGUGCUGUGUCGCUUGACAACCUAGCACAACUACCACUGCAUGUAAUCAGCAUUAGCAUUGUACUUACCCUUGGGUGAAGAAGGCAGAUUGCCCCUGCUGAUAUGUGCCUUCACUGCAGAUUCAGAGUUUAGGGCCGACAUCGUGGGCUGAAGGGGCGCUGCUGGAAUCAAUCUAUAUUCUCACUGUACAGCUCCCUUGCCAUCCUUUACUAGUGCCAGGUUCUGGGAUGUGACAUCACCCCAGCCCUGGCAUAAGUCUUCAGACUGAUCCCAGCAGCAAACCACAAGACACCAGCAAUAAGGUCUAAACAAAAAAAUAUCAAAUGUGUAUGAGUGUGUGUACAUAUGUGUGUGUGUGCAUAUGAAUGUGCGUGAAUGUGCAUAUAUAAAUUUUAGUGUGUGUAUUUAAAUUUGAGUAUGUGUAUAUGAAUGUUAGCGUGUGUGUGAAUAUGUGUCUGCACCUGAAUAUGCGUGUGUGUGUGUGUCAAUAAAAUAAACCAAAGAAGGGGGGAGGGGUUCGCCCCGGGUGCCACUCACUAGGGGGAUGCCCGGGGCAGACUGCAAUGCCUCUCCUGCGCCCAUCGCCGACACCGGCGGUCUGCAGCUCCGCACUGAGCAGAGCUGCAGACCAUGUGUCUCGCGAGCACUGCCCAAUCAGAGCAUUGCCGCGGGUUACCAGUCAAUGCAUUUCAUUUAUAAGUGAACUUUAACAAGACCAGGGUAUGUGCUGCCCCUAAAGGAGAGGCUCUUAUAUACCAGUUAAGAUAUGGAAAGGGCCCUCUUUCAGUAAAACAAUAAAACACACAAGAAACGUGUAUACAUUCAAAGAGAUAAACAAUAACAAAUCAUGAAUUAUACAGUAUAUAUAUAUAAACCCUCAUUCUUAACAAAAUGAAAACAUAAGACAGUGAUUAAAAAUGGAAAUACAUGGAAAAUAUUUUAUUUAUAAUAACAAUAAUGGAAAGAUUGUGCUGAAACUACAGGGAUAUAAAAAAAUAUAUGAAUGAGAGAUAUCAAUCAUAAUGUAUAAAAAUCCAAUUCGUCAUUUAAGGCUCUCGGGGUGGUAUCUCCCUCUAUCAGAAUGUGACCCCACUGGGGGUGCAUUCAAUUAUCAUAAUAGAUAGGGACAUGGCAUCCCCCUCUGACACUCUUUAAAGUACUAGAAUUCAGAUGUAAAAUAGACCUCCGUUGUUUACAAAAAUGAUCUAUUAGUUUUUUCCAUUUAUAUUGAUACAAUAUAUAAAAUUGCUUCUCCAUUUUGGCUUUAUUUUUGUUAAAUAAAACAUGACACUGUGUAAUAUGUCAUGUGUCAUUCAUCUGAGGCUGUACUAUUUACCUAAUUUUAAGACCUGCUAAGGAACAGAGGAUUUUUAUUAUGUCCUGAUAUGUAAAACCAUAGAAAUCAAAGAGGGUGUACUUUUUUUCCCCAUGAAGGUAUGUGGCCAGUGUGGCUGCAACCCACACCUGUCACUCUUGCCAGCCCUCCCCAGCUUUGACACAAUGAGUGUUUAUAGAAUAUGGGAUAUGUAUAGGUAGAUUCUACUGUUAUUAUGUCAAAUGCAUUGAAAUGCCUCUUUUUCCACUUUUGAGUUGAUCCCUUGGAUAUUUUUAUUCAUGUUCUGCUUGAUUUAAAUGCUUUUCCUUCACCUAACUAUGCGUGUUACUUUACCCACACUGUAAUUAUUUGUCUUAUUGUUUAGAGUGUUAUACUGUUUUAGCAAGCUGAAACAUAUAAUAAUUUCUAUUCACAAAAGAAAACUAGAAAAUUAAAAACAUUUUGCAAAUACUAAAUCUGUGGGUGUCUCUCCAGCAUUGUGAAGUAAAAAGCAAAACCUAAGCAAAAGUCAAAAUAAAUACCUAAAUAAAAGUACAUUGUUUCCCCAUGUAUUUUAUGUAUAAGAACAGGCACUCCACCAUCUAAACAUUACAACUCCUAUCAUCUAGAGACUGACACUAACUGAUCAUGGUUUUUGUUCCGCAGCUCACAGAAAGUCAGUAAUUUCCUGGUCUCACUGUUAGACUGUUUUCACUCACCCGCAGGUAGCCGGGGAGGAUGGCUUUAAAGAUAACCUGUUUCAAAAAAUGGGAGCUAGAUCGCUACCAAGUCAGUGAAAAUGGGAAGUAACCCCAACAACAUCUACUUACGAGAAUGCAAAAAAAGGGUGCGCAAUAAAACUUUGCAAAAUAAAUAUGUGUAUAAAGAUAAAGUGUGAUCCAAAAAUAAACCCAAAAAGUACAAAUUGAGAAAAAAGUGUUAUUGACUAAACAAUGUUUAACCCACUUGGGCAAUAAUUAGGCAACACAGUUGAUUAAUGUAGAAAUUACACCUAAAACAGAAAAAAUAAAGUUACUAAUAGUAAAAAUCAGUAAAUUAAUAAAUUUAAAUGUUUAUGUAUGAAUAUCACUCACAAGAUAGUAGUGGUAUAAGUGCCAUAUUUUGCUGAGGGAGGACCAAUUCGUUAGAACAAGUUGGUCCCAACGCGCUUCUUUGAUCGGAGUUGAAGUCAGUCACUAGGAUGCUUCUUAUGAAACUUCAUUCCAAAAUAAAAUAAAUGAAAAACUGAACAAAAACAGCACAAAUGGGAAAGCAAAAAAAGUCAAAAUAUGUACACAGUUUAAAAGUCCAUCUUCCUUCACUUCCUCGAUCAGGGUGGACUCAGAGUUUUUAGCCUCUUUUUUGGGCUUUCUCCAGCACAUGUUGAGAUCUUCUAAGCACUUCUUUAAUAUACAUCAAGAUCAAGGGAAUGUGCAGGCAGUGAGAAUAUAGAAAAAAAAGUAACUGCUGUAAAUAACCAUUAGACUUAAAAAUAGUAACAUUUAAACUGAUAAGCAUAUGUAGUAAAAUAUUCCAUUUAGAAAUAAAAGGUAAAUAGAGGGAUAAUACAUCUUUGCAAUACAUAUAAUAAAACAUUACAAUAUACCAUAAAUAAAAUAAGCAACAACAACAAUUUAAAAUAGAUAUAAAAGGGGGCAGGGAUUGACCACCAUCUCAAGCUUUCGCACCGAGCCUAAGCUCCGCAAGAUUCUGGGCUGUAGCUUAACUAAUCGUGUUACACUGAAUGACAAUUAGUGCUGAGCUGGUUCCUCAUGCGGUUCGGGUGCUGCAGGGCACUUUGUCAGAGCAACUUAAAGCUUGUGGAGACAAAGCACCAACAUUCUUGUUUUGCAGCCUAGAUUGGGUCCUGCUGGGAGUUGCAGCAGACCUCUUCGGUGGGAUCCUGCAGGUUGAUCUUUGAACGGGCCCUGUAUCCCCCCCCUUCGGACCAGUGGGGGUAAGCCCGGUCCCCACCGCUAAAAUGUCUGGUGCCUACCUUCACCUUGGGCUUUUCCAAGGGCCAUAUUAGGAGCUCAUUGGGCCUGAUGCUGACAAUUAUGAUGGGCCUAAUUAUAGAAUCGUAUCGAUUGAAAACACUAAAACAGUUAUAGCUCUCACGUGUCAUGUAUCUGGCAGAUGUGGUGCAGAGUGAAACUCACAGGAUAUAGUUUUAAGAAAAUACAUACCCGGGGGGUGGGGGGGUGCAUCAUGACAUAGGCGCGUUCGACCGUCUGCGUGAGAGGAGAGGCGAUAUGGCGGAAGGGUGGCCGGUGAAGAUCCAUGCUGUUAGAGGAGAUGCUGACAGCCGUGUCUGUCAGGCUGGGGAAUACUAGCGACCAAACACUGCAGGCUGUCAGUGGAUGUUAGAGGACGGGAAUUGAGGGGGAUUGCGAGAAAUUGGAGAUCUCGGAGAGGAAGAUAAGAGAGGAGUGAUGAAACAUCAAUAACACCAAACUACAACAAAAGAUAAGUGCACUUCCUAAAUUUUGACUGUAAAAGAGGAGGAAUGAAGGUGGGGAUUUCAACAGUGUGUUGGACCCGAUGCUAGAUAAAAAGUUUACUUCAACAUUAUCACAUCACAAAAGAACAGAUAAAUAAGCAAAAUCUAUUAAGAGAAAUAUGAUUAAUUAUGAUUUUUUUGAUUUAUGGAGAAUGCUUAACCCUGAUUCACUGGAGUAUAAGUUUUUUUCGCGAGUACAUUUGUCUUACUCUCGAAUAGACAUUGUUUGGGGAAAUGCAAUAGCACUAACAAAUAUUAAUUACUUUAAGAUCCUUGAUAAUACCUGGUCAGAUCGUAGCAUUAAUAUGUGGGAGAUGAAAAACCAAUGGGCCAGGACCAAUCGUGAAACUUGGCGUAUAGAUGAUAAUCUUUUAAAGUAUAAAACCAAUUUAGAAUUAUUGGAUAAACAAAUUGGUGAUUUUUUUCUUGUCAAUGACCCAAACGAUACCUCAUACAUAAAUAAUUGGUGUGCCUUUAAAUCUACCAUGAGAGGAAAUAUAAUUAGUAUACAAGCAUGAUACAAAGCAGAAAAUAAUAAAGCCUUCCUGGCAUUUCAAGCAGAAUUAAAUAAAGCCUCAAUUAAGAACAAGCAGACCCCUUCUAAGGAACAUGCAGAUGCCCUGAAAAUUGCUCAAAAUAAAAUUAAUAAUCUCCUCCUAGAAAAAAAUGCAAGAGUUUUGAAUAAACUUAAGUCUAACUUUUAUUAUAAGGGGAACCGAGCAGAUAGGAUAAUGACAAAAAAGUUAAGAGAUAAAAUUGGAUCUAGUAAGAUAGUGAAGAUAGCGGAUGAUGAAGGUGAAUACUUGGACCCCAAAAAGAUAGGAGAGAGAUUCAAUAAGUAUUACGAGGCUUUGUAUAAUCUUCCUCCCUUGUUUGUAAUAGAGGAGGAUUAUUUGAGUGAAACUGUCACACCUAGUAUUUCGUUAGAACAAAUAAAUUAUUUAGAUACCCCCAUCACAGUUCAAGAAGUGGAGGAGGCAAUAGGCAAUUUAAAAUCGGAUAAGACCCCAGGUCCAGAUGGUUUUUCAAAUUUAUUUUAUAAAUCUUUCAAAAAUCGUAUAGCCUUGCACUUAACUAACAUGUUUAAUGAAAUAGUGUCAGUAGGUAAAUUUCCCACCGAAAAUGCUGAGCGCAAAUAUCCUCCCAAUCCUUAAGCCAAAUAAAGACCCCUUAAAGGUGGAAAAUUAUAGACCCAUUUCGUUAAUCAACACAGAUGUUAAGAUCUUUUCAUCAGUUUUUGCCCACAGAUUAAAGGGAGUCAUGGUUAACAUCAUAAAAAAUGAUGAAAUUGGGUUUGUACAGGGGAGGGAUUUGGUAGAUAACUCCAGAAGGCUGUUAGAUUUAAUAGACGCUGCUCGAAGAAAUAAAAAGCACUUAUUCCUAUUGGCAGUUGAUGCUUAGAAGGCUUUCGACAGGGUCGGUUUUUUAAGGAAAACCUUGGGAAAAUUUUGUAUACGGGGAUGGAUGCUUAAUGCAAUUCUUGCGUUAUAUGCGGGUCCAACAGCAAGAACAGUGGCUCCGAACAUAUGCGCAGAAUGGUUUACAUUAAAUAAUGGAACACGGCAAGGCUGUCCUUUGUCGCCUACUCUGUAUAUUAUGACAAUGGAGAUCCUCGCUAUUAAUAUUAGAAAUAAUUCCCGAAUAAAAGGUAUUAAUUAUAGAGAGUCGUUUGAGAGGCUGAUACAAGAAUUUUCGUUACCCAGGAAGGAGUGGUAUAAUUACUUAAGGAUUAGAGGUUUCAUCAAACAAUUUUUGUUAGCUCGACCUAUAGAGGGUUUAGAAAAACUGACCGCUUUAUUAAAUAAUGAGAAAGUAUCUCAAAUAGCCUCAAAAACAAGAAGCGCUCUUCUUCAGAUUGAAGCACCAACUACGAACAUAAACAUGCAGAAGUGGGGAAAAGAGCUAAAUAUACACAUUUUUAAGACUGAAUGGGAUGAAGUGUUAAUACAAACUAGUAAAGCUAUCCACUGUUUGAGUAUUCUGGAGGUACUGUUUAAAUUGAUGAAUCGCUGGUAUUUAGUUCCCACCAGAUUGACUAAAAUGUAUACCUCCAAUUCUCCAACGUGUUGGAGAUGUAAUGAGACGGAAGGGACUUUUGACCAUAUCUGGUGGGAAUGCAGUAAGGUGAAAAGGUUGUGGUACAUGGCCUUUGAGGCACUGGAAUACAUAACAGAGAGAAGUAUUCCUAGGGGUCCCCAUAAUGGCCUGUUCCAUCUAAAUCUACAAUCACUUAAUUUUAGAGAUAGAUUUAUAUAUGUCCACUUUGUGGCAGCAGUAAAAAUAAUAAUUGCUAGGAGUUGGAAGAGCAGUGAGAAUUUUACACAGGCCCGACUGUACUCACAAGUUCAAUAUCAAUUCAUUAUGGAGGCCUUAGGAUACCAGACAAAUAAAAUUAGAGAUAUUAGUAAUUUUUGGAGAAAAAGAAUGGAGAGUUCAGAUACACAAACCCCUGGACAGAGUGUUUAGAUUAUUUUUUUUUUGGUUUAUUAUAUUAAGAAGUAAGAAGAUUAUGCAACGCAAUGUGAGUUAUGUCUAUGCAAUGUGAGUUAUGUCUAUGCAAUGUGAGUUAUGUCUAGUAUAGUAGUUAAGGUAUAUGAUGUCAAGUUAGCCAAUAUCGAAGUGUUUCAUGUGCAAGUAAGAAACAGGGUUGUCUACACAGAAUUGUGCAUAUUGCACCUGGAUUUAAAAGAGAGGGGUUAAGUAAAGUUUAAGCCUGCUUGGCAAAUGACGUUAUUACUUUACAUAGGAUAAAUCUUUGUGAUCUUUGUGAUAAUUUAGAAGUGAAAUUAGUUGGAAUAUUUAUUAUUGAGAAUCCUGUAAUACAGUAUUUUAUAUGUUAUGCAUUAUGAAGAAAAUGGUGAUUUUCACUGUAGACGGAAAUUGUUUUUUAUAUGUGUCGAAUUAAAACAAAAUAAAUUAUUAUAAAAAAAAAAAAUACAUACCCUAUGCUAAUGUCUCACUUUAAUCUUGCAAGUAAAUCCAUAUCCCCUAACAGCAGCGUCCAGUGAAGCAAGAUUUCAGUGGACAGGGUAAAAGGUUGGGCCACUGACGCGAACCACGUAACCAAACCCACCUAAAGUGGCAAUAAUGCCAAAAAAAAUCUGCCCAAGGAAUUAGAAGGUCAGCCUGGCGUGAAUGCAUGUAAGGCUGCCUGCCAAUUAUGCAGGAUGACCAACUAAGGGCAUACUAUGCAGACAGCAUCCUGAGCUUGGCAUAACUACAUCUAAUAAUGCAAUUACUCCACGCUUUCUAAGAACUGUCCAAUAGCACACGCUGGUCCACUCCUCUCCUAACCUUCUUACUGGGACAGAGAAAAGGUGUACGUAAUGAGUGUAGAUGAAAGGGAACAUGCCACAGAGUUAUAAAGACUAGAGCAGCAAGAGCAUUUGCAUAGUGCGCAAAGUCAGCUUUACCUUAACUAAUUUAAUUGUCAGCCAGUCCACACCAGUUUUGUUUCCCUACAUCCACAUGUGAAAAGUAGAAAGAAAAAAAAAGGUGCAGCUCCUUCAGGUCCUAUGUUAAUCCUGCCCUGGCUUUUCCACAUCUUAAAGAGAGGCAUGGUCUUCAAAGCCACAAGGUGGCCAGCAUACCACCACAGGCCUCACAAGAAGAACUCUCCAAGACUCUUAGCCUCUACACCGUGGGUGCAAGGGUCUGUGGACUUUAUGUUGAAGAUCCAAAUGAGUCCCGGAGCUGGAGGAAGUGGCUUAAGGGGCAAUCCCAUCCAAGCUAUGCCGGUUUGUUACAGCAGUAGACCUUCCUAGCCAAGGCAUAGGCUGACCCCAUUUACCAAGCUGGCACAGCAACCUGCAAUCCUUUGUUGUUGUUUUUUGUGCCUGGGCUACAGCUGAUUUUUAGUUCAGUGUUACGUAGUCUUUUAAUUUGUCGUUAGUACCCUCAGGGUAUAUCCUGGACCUUGUUCAGGCACUAGUCUUGCCUGCUGUGGCAGUGGUCACCUUAUUAUUCAGACUUCACCAAGAUAUUGCUGCCUCUCAUUUUCCAUUACAUGUCUCAGUUAAUAUAGCUAUAUGUCGCAGUCUUUACAUGUAUUAUUAUUAUUACCUAUUAUAUUCAUGCCUAUGUCAAGCCUCCUGAUCUUACGCACUUAGAGAGUCACAUACUUAGACAAGACUGUCUUACACGUGAUGUUUAAUUCAUAACAUGUGCUAUUCAUUCGACAUGUCCUGUAACGUAUGUAGUGAUUCUUUGCUGCACUUAAUCUUGUCGAUGUGUCAAAAUAUGCAUGCUUGUCUCUCUAUGCACUACAAAAAUAAGGAACUAAAAAACAAAAACAACAAAAAAGUCAUGCCACAUAAGACAUUGUCCAGGAUGGCAUGGGUAUGUGUGCUGUAACCACCUCUACACUGCCAGGUACCUAUAUUUGAAAAAAUGCUGCCUAUCUAUAUUUUAUAGCAAUUUCUCUAACAUAGUGUAUAGCUAAAGAUAAUAAUUCACAAGAAAAAAUAAAUAUAAAUAUAUAAAUAUAUAUAUUUACAUAGUUACAUAGUUACAUAGCUGAAAAGAGACUUGCGUCCAUCAAGUUUAGCCUUCCUUACAAAUGUUGUUGCUGUUGAUCCAAAAGAAGGCAAAAAACCUGGUCUGAAGCGCUUCCAAUUUUGCCACAAACUAGGAAAAAACAUUUGAAUGAAAAUUAUUUCCAAUAAAUUUAGAUUAAUUGUUUUGCAGCAGUGGUCAGUAACUGCAAGAUAGAGAACAUAAGAAUAUAAGUCCAAAAUGACUAAAUGAAAAACAGAGAAAAAAUACUGUUUACAUUUGAAAAUGUUUAUAAAAAAAACAAUUAUAAAAAAAUUUGUUAUAAAAAUUAGUUAUAAAAAAUGAUUAAAAAUCCACAUUUAAUCCCGAAGAUGUUAACUUUUCUAAAUAAAUCACAGACCAAUCUGUCGCGCAAUACAAAAAAUCCAUUGUGAGGCACCUAUUCAAUGCUGCUAAAUCCCUGAUUCCAUUGAUGUGGAAAAACACCCAACCUCCCAUGAUCACGCAAUGGCUAAAGAGAGUAGAAGAAAUCCACACAGCGGAGGCAAAAUAUGCGGACAUUCUAGGUCGAAGCGACAAACACAUAGAACUCUGGGGGCCAUGGUGCAUGUACCUAACACACUCGCAGACACAGAGAGGUAGAUGUGGAAAACACGAGAGAAAACAGGACACACUUGAGCAACACAUAAACUAAGGAAACACCCCUCCCUGACCCCCACCUUUCCCCCCCCCAACUUGUCUCGGGGCUCCUGCAGGUCCAACCAGUGCCUGCGUAGCCAACCCCGGAACCCCUGGGACGUACAAGAUAACAGCAACAAAAACAACCCCUACGACCCAGAACCGGCGGGGCGGGAGGAGAGGAGAGGGGGAGCACAACAAGGACGAAAUAACCCACAACCUCUAAUAUAGCUACAUUGUAGCAACACUAAAUAAAAGCAGAAAUAGGAAGAGACAGAGACACCAGCUAAACAACCAAACACACUACAACUAGAGUCGAAUCCCUACCUGAACACACAUACAGGCACGAGCUAAACCUCACACUACAACACACACAGAACAACACAACACCUGGGAGACGACAAGACCCAUACAGAAGAGACAGGGACCACUGUGGAGAUGACACGCCACCACCAACACACCCUCCCCCCCUUUUUCUCAACACCUCCGCCCCAGACUAAAUAUGGUUUCAAGACACAACAGACCGGACUGUACUAAAAACCUGUAGGGACACGAAACAGUAGAACUCACCACGAAACCCUAAACUAAUAGGCAAAUGAGAAACUGCUUAAAAUCACACAGAGCUAACUCAAAGGGUGAACAACCAUAGACACCCAACCUGAUCUGAAUAACAAUGGCUACAAAUCUGCAUUUGAAUGUCAUAAACACGAUACUCACCUUACCUGAGAGAUCUGCGUAUCUUAAAAUAUUAAACGCUAUUUCAAAUACUUCAAAUGUUAGAAACCUGCGUGUUUCACACUGUAUAUUGACGAAAUGAAUCUUGACAACAUGACAAAAUACAAAUAAAAGGUUAUUUACAAAAAAAAAAUCUUUUCUAAAUAAGAAAUCCAUUUAAUUUCUUCUUUUUUAAUCCCUACAACUGUCAGGCCCAUAGUGUCCUGAUGACGGACUGUUUUGUGGCUACUUAUUAAAGGUUGCAAGGACAAGUGAGAAAAUAAAUGACAUCUUCAGUGAAACAUAUAAUUUGUUAGUGUAUUUUAUAACUUUUCUGUGUGGCUGUGGAUUUGAAUAAUUUUAUAGCUUGAAUGCUUCAUGAUGUAUUGUUUCUGCAGCCCACACACGUUCUCAUCUAAAAAAAAACCAAAAAAAACCUUUUAUUCUCAUUGAUAAAAUGUAUUUUUUCCUCUUCUUUCAUAAAAACCUUUACUAGUUUCUUUUUUUGACAAUCUUUGUUUUAUUGAGAUGGUAGCAUGAAACAGACAAUAAACAAUAUAAUACCAGAAUUUGACAGCUUGUCACAGUAAUGUGAUACUUAAUUCUAGAUAUAGUUAUUUCUGGGUGAAAUAACAUAAUGAAUAAAAGUAAUACAAUACAGGCUAAGGAACAGGUUGAAUAUGCAUGUCUAGACCUAGCUGAUUUGCUAAUGUGCAUUUGUAGGCUUGCUGUGGAAUAUAAGAAAAGCUAAGCUAUGAUUACCCUACAAGAGGAUGCAACUGAAUCAAACACCCAAACAACUAGGAUAGAAAAACAAAAUACAGGAUGCACCAAUAGCCAAUAACUGGAUUGGCAUGAUAGCAGUUGCCAUCAGUAUAAGGUGGUGUGACGGAAUGAGUCAGGAUGUCAAAGAUUUUAUUAUAUCUAAUAGUUACAUGGUACUUAUAGCUAUCCAGAUUACUAGGGGGUAGAGUGCAAAUUGGGUUGUUGCUGUUUUUAGCAGUACAUGACAGAGCGCUCUCAGCUCCCUUGUAUUACAGCAGGUUGUUCUGUUAGUCUACUCUUCAGAAUGUAUGCUUCUUUGUAUCCCUUCUAAUUCCUUGCAUCCCUCCCUAGACAAUCUAAUUUGCUGCAACUGUGCAUACGUGACACACAUCACUAGGGUGUCUAUAGCAAGCUUUUUUACCAGGCAGAUUAGGAAGCUUUCUGUUUAAAAGCAUUCUAAUUUGGGAAUAAUGUUGUCCGAAUACAGUUUUGUUUCCUAAAUUUUUUCCAAAUCUCAUUCUAUUCCAGACAGAUAAUUUCCAAAUUUCAUACAAACUGGAAUUGGAAAAUGAAUGAAUUGAAACUAAACAGAGCAGAUUUUUUCUUUACUAUGCACAUCUUUAUGAGAAUCUGAUUCCAGCUAUAUGUUUCAAUUCUGACUUCGAGGUACACUGCAGUCACUAUAACCAUUUUAUCUCAUUGUAUUGGUUACAAUGCUUGGAGUCACCUGGCAUACCCCUCCAUUCAUGUUACACCAUUUCAAGCAGUUUUAAACUAAGUAAAGGUCUCUAACCACCCACAGCCCGGCCGUCCCCUAUUAGAGGUGUGGCUAAGGUAGAGGUAACAUACUUUCUUCUAGCCAUGCCAGCCGAACUGAUACCAGCAAUGGAAGCCCUGGUAGACUGAAAGCGGUCAGUUGACAGUCUCGGCCAAUCACAGCCACCCAUUGCUGCUCAGACUCAUGUUUCCUUAUUAGCCUAAGCAGCACAGACCCUCUUUUAGGUUAAAAACAAAUUGAAUUCAGGAUACCAGGAAAUCAGUUUCACAAAGAUAAACGCACUCUCAGGAACCAGGGACAGGAAACCACGACAGGGCAAGGAAGUAAAGUGAAUUAGGGAUUUAAAUAUCCCUCUCUGGCUUCUGAUUGGUCAGAGGGUGACCUCUGACCCCAGAACAUGCGCGUGCGAUGCACGUAUAGAGUUUAACUCCUUAGCUGACGGUGGUGUAAAUCCACCUCUGGCAGGGUGAAGGAGGCGUCAUUAGCCAGCAUUGAACAAUAGUUCCAGGCUGACUAAUGUCAAUUCUAUGCAAAUGUUUUUUUUGCACAGAAUUAGCUGAAAGAUAAUUGAAUUAUAGGUUUUUCUCACACAAUUAUCUCUCAGGCACAGAGGAUCUUGAGAUUGAAGCCUCUGCAUUAUUGUAUUGGAGACCCCAUGUAGGGGUCUGUGCAUAACAAUGAAAAUAAAAAAGGAUAUAGUGCCCGGAGUGUCCCAUUAAAGGAAUUCAACUGAAGAUAAUAAAUUAAAGUACACAUCUGUUUGUUGGGAUAAAUAUCAUAUAUGUGUAUUACAUAUUUUAAAGGCUGUUUACUUUGUGUUUGUUUCUUUUCAAUAUUUGUUUGUGACAAGAUUUUGUCCUUUGUGCUUCAAGGUGAUUCAGCGGAAGAGAUUGACUUGACUGUAGUUUAUCAAGCAUCAGCUAAUGGAGAUGUCAACACAUUGACUGCAAUCAUCCGUGAAGAUCCUUCUAUUUUAGAAUACU
RNAcentral lists this long non-coding RNA (34056 nucleotides) under Pelobates cultripes (western spadefoot toad). The record is from RNAcentral. Lineage: Eukaryota; Metazoa; Chordata; Amphibia; Anura; Pelobatidae.